CGUUGUYCGGAUUUUUUGGGCGUAAAGCGAGCGCAGGCGGGCCGGKAAGUCUGAUGKGACAAGCCCACGGCUCAACCGGGGAACGGCAUUGGAAACCGGCGGGMCCUGAAUGUAGCAGAGGAAAGUGGAAHUCCAUGUGUAGCGGKGGAAUUUGUAGAUAUAUGGAGGAACACCAGUGGCGAAAGCGACUUUCUGGGCUAUGAUUGACGCUGUAGGCUCGAAAGCGUGGGGAGCGAACAGGAUUAGAUACCCUGGUAGUCCACGCCGUAAACGAUGAGUGCUAAGUGUUGGAGGGUUUCCGCCCUUCAGUGCUCGAGUUAACGCAUUAAGCACCCCGCCUGGGGRUUACGACCGCAAGGUUGAAACUCAAAAGAAUUGACGGGGACCCGCACAAGCGGUGGAGCAUGUGGUUUAAUUCGAAGCAACGCGAAGAACCUUACCAGCUCUUGACAUCUUCUGCCACCUUCAGAGAUGAAGGGUUCCUUCGGGGACAGAAUGACAGGUGGUGCAUGGUGGUCGUCAGCUCGUGUCGUGAGAUGUUGGGUUAAGUCCCGUAACGAGCGCAACCCUUAUUGUUAGUUGCCAGCAUUGAGUUGGGCACUCUAGCAAGACUSSCCGGUGAUAAACCGGAGGAAGGCGGGGAUGACGUCAAAUCAUCAUGCCCCUUAUGAGCUGGRAAACACACGUGCUACAAUGGAUGGUACAACGAGUGGCGAGACCGCGAGGUUUAGCUAAUCUCCCAAAGCCAUUCUCAGUUCGRAUUGCAGGCUGCAACUCGCCUGCAUGAAGUCGGAAUCGCUAGUAAUCGCGGAUCAAAAUGCCGCGGGUGAAUUCGUUCCCGGGUC
Molecule: ribosomal RNA, 845 nt
Filed under: uncultured Alloiococcus sp.
Lineage: Bacteria; Bacillati; Bacillota; Bacilli; Lactobacillales; Carnobacteriaceae
Description: bacterial SSU rRNA
Rfam family: Bacterial small subunit ribosomal RNA
Source: RNAcentral